UACGUAGGGUGCAAGCGUUGUCCCGAAUUAUUGGGCGUAAAGAGCUCGUAGGCGGUUCGUCGCGUCGGCUGUGAAAUCCCGAGGCUCAACCUCGGGUCUGCGGUCGAUACGGGCAUCACUGGAGUUCGGCAGGGGAGACUGGAAUUCCUGGUGUAGCGGUGAAAUGCGCAGAUAUCAGGAGGAACACCGGUGGCGAAGGCGGGUCUCUGGGCCGAUACUGACGCUGAGGAGCGAAAGCGUGGGGAGCGAACAGG
RNAcentral lists this ribosomal RNA (254 nucleotides) under uncultured bacterium. RNAcentral describes it as "partial 16S ribosomal RNA". It matches the Rfam family "Bacterial small subunit ribosomal RNA", at positions 524 to 776 of the family's 1533-position model. The record is from RNAcentral.